GUUUGGCAUCAAUAUGGUGACCUCCCUGGACCAGGGGGACCACUGGGUUGCCUAAGGAGGGGUGAAUGGAUCUAGGUCAGAAACGGAGCAGAUCAAAACUCCCAUGCUGAUC
Molecule: small RNA, 112 nt
Filed under: Catagonus wagneri (Chacoan peccary)
Lineage: Eukaryota; Metazoa; Chordata; Mammalia; Artiodactyla; Tayassuidae
Description: Metazoan signal recognition particle RNA (ENSCWAG00000004173.1)
Rfam family: Metazoan signal recognition particle RNA
About the family: The signal recognition particle (SRP) is a universally conserved ribonucleoprotein.
Source: Rfam by way of RNAcentral